RNAcentral lists this non-coding RNA (45 nucleotides) under Schistosoma margrebowiei. The record is from RNAcentral. Lineage: Eukaryota; Metazoa; Platyhelminthes; Trematoda; Strigeidida; Schistosomatidae.
AUUCAGCUGUUGAUUCCCGAAUAGAACGAAACGCGCUUCCUGAAU